Ribosomal RNA from Mustela putorius furo (domestic ferret), 121 nucleotides. The record is from Ensembl. NCBI's taxonomy places the organism in Eukaryota, Metazoa, Chordata, Mammalia, Carnivora, Mustelidae.
GUCUACAGCCAUACCACACUGAAUGCGCCUGAUCUCGUCUGAUCUCAGGAGCUAAGCGGGGUUGAGCCUGGUUAGUACUCGGAUGGACUGGGGGUUAAAGAAGAGGAAGGAGUCAGAGAUU